AUACUUACCUGGCAGGGGAGAUACCAUGAUCACUAAGGUGGUUCUCCCAGGGCAAGGCUCAUCCAUUGCACUCCGGGUGUGCUGACCCCUGUGAUUUCCCCAAAUGCGGGAAACUCGACUGCAUAAUUUGUGGUUUUUAUGUGAAUUUUCCCUAGGGAUUAAUAAAG
Erpetoichthys calabaricus (reedfish) is the source of this 167-nucleotide small nuclear RNA. Its record names the gene U1. It matches the Rfam family "U1 spliceosomal RNA". From Rfam's summary of the family: U1 is a small nuclear RNA (snRNA) component of the spliceosome (involved in pre-mRNA splicing). Its 5' end forms complementary base pairs with the 5' splice junction, thus defining the 5' donor site of an intron. The record is from Ensembl. Lineage: Eukaryota; Metazoa; Chordata; Cladistia; Polypteriformes; Polypteridae.